RNAcentral lists this ribosomal RNA (253 nucleotides) under uncultured bacterium. RNAcentral's name for it is "partial 16S ribosomal RNA". It matches the Rfam family "Bacterial small subunit ribosomal RNA", at positions 524 to 776 of the family's 1533-position model. The record is from RNAcentral.
UACGUAGGGUGCAAGCGUUGUCCGGAAUUAUUGGGCGUAAAGAGCUCGUAGGCGGUCUGUCGCGUCGGAUGUGAAAAUCCAGGGCUCAACCCUGGACCUGCAUUCGAUACGGGCAGACUAGAGUUCGGCAGGGGAGACUGGAAUUCCUGGUGUAGCGGUGAAAUGCGCAGAUAUCAGGAGGAACACCGGUGGCGAAGGCGGGUCUCUGGGCCGAUACUGACGCUCAUGCACGAAAGCGUGGGGAGCAAACAGG